GUUCUCUUGCUCACAAGUCGAGAAGAACAAGGUUUUAUAGUGUUCUCUUGCUCACAAGUCGAGACGAACAAGGUUUCAUAGUGUUCUCUUGCUCACAAGUCGAGACGAACAAGGUUUCAUAGUGUUCUCUUGCUCACAAGUCGAGAAGAACAAGGUUUUAUAGUGUUCUCUUGCUCACAAGUCGAGAAGAACAAGGUUUCAUAGUGUUCUCUUGCUCACAAGUCGAGAAGAACAAGGUUUCAUAGUGUUCUCUUGCUCACAAGUCGAGAAGAACAAGGUUUCAUAGUGUUCUCUUGCUCACAAGUCGAGAAGAACAAGGUUUCAUAGUGUUCUCUUGCUCACAAGUCGAGAAGAACAAGGUUUCAUAAUGUUCUCUUGUUCACAAGUCGAGAAGAACAAGGUUUCAUAGUGUUCUCUUGCUCACAAGUCGAGAAGAACAAGGCUUCAUAGUGUUCUCUUGCUCACAAGUCGAGAAGAACAAGGUUUCAUAGUGUUCUCUUGCUCACAAGUCGAGAAGAACAAGGUUUCAUAGUGUUCUCUUGCUCACAAGUCGAGAAGAACAAGGUUUCAUAGUGUUCUCUUGCUCACAAGUCGAGACGAACAAGGUUUCAUAGUGUUCUCUUGCUCACAAGUCGAGAAGGACAAGGUUUCAUAGUGUUCUCUUGUUCACAAGUCGAGAAGAACAAGGUUUCAUAGUGUUCUCUUGCUCACAAGUCGAGAAGAACAAGGUUUCAUAGUGUUCUCUUGCUCACAAGUCGAGAAGAACAAGGUUUCAUAGUGUUCUCUUGCUCACAAGUCGAGACGAACAAGGUUUCAUAGUGUUCUCUUGCUCACAAGUCGAGAAGGACAAGGUUUCAUAGUGUUCUCUUGUUCACAAGUCGAGAAGAACAAGGUUUUAUAGUGUUCUCUUGCUCACAAGUCGAGAAGAACAAGGUUUCAUAGUGUUCUCUUGCUCACAAGUCGAGAAGAACAAGGUUUCAUAGUGUUCUCUUGCUCACAAGUCGAGAAGAACAAGGUUUCAUAAUGUUCUCUUGCUCACAAGUCGAGAAGAACAAGGUUUCAUAGUGUUCUCUUGUUCACAAGUCGAGAAGAACAAGGCUUCAUAGUGUUCUCUUGCUCACAAGUCGAGACGAACAAGCGGUUUCAUAAUUUUCCCUUUUCUGAAGUCGAGUCGAACAAAGAUACAUAUUAGCAAUAAAAGAGCACCUCUGCCGGACAUGCGAAACCUCAGGAUUCAUUAAGUAAUGCUUCAUUUGAAAAUGUACAUUAGUACUCAUCCGCUUUUGGAACUAUUUCUUUUGUACCUUAGAUAUUAUCUGGAAAUACUAGUUAUAAAGCUAACUGGCAUGGAAGCUGGAAACUGCUUUAAAACACACAUAUCUUUAGUAUAAUUUUAUACUGUUGUUUUCGUAAAUGUUAAUCAUAAUGAUAUGCCUCAUGCUUUACUACGUUUUGUACUUUUGUGGUUAUUUAAUUUAUAAAUAUUUAUUUCAAAAUACGUAUGUAAUUUCUAAAUAAAAUAUUACUAAGAUU
This 1533-nucleotide long non-coding RNA is filed under the name Penaeus japonicus. RNAcentral's name for it is "uncharacterized LOC122265451". Lineage: Eukaryota; Metazoa; Arthropoda; Malacostraca; Decapoda; Penaeidae. The record is from RNAcentral.